UAUGCUGCCGAGAAAAGCCUCUAGUGAGUGUCGUGGCGGCCCGUACCCCAAACCGACUCAGGUGGUCAGGUAGAGAAUACCAAGGCGAUCGGGUGAACUGUGGUUAAGGAACUCGGCAAAUUGCCCCCGUAACUUCGGGAGAAGGGGGGCCUCCGCUGGUGAUCAGACUUGCUUUGUGAGCUGGUGGGGGUCGCAGAGGCCAGGGGGAAGCGACUGUUUACUAAAAACACAGGUCCGUGCGAAGUCGUAAGACGAUGUAUACGGACUGACGCCUGCCCGGUGCUGGAACGUUAAGGGGACCGGUUAGCGCAUCUUCGGGUGUGCGAGGCUGAGAACUUAAGCGCCAGUAAACGGCGGUGGUAACUAUAACCAUCCUAAGGUAGCGAAAUUCCUUGUCGGGUAAGUUCCGACCUGCACGAAUGGCGUAACGACUUCCCCGCUGUCUCAACCGCAGACCCGGCGAAAUUGCACUACGAGUAAAGAUGCUCGUUACGCGCAGCAGGACGGAAAGACCCCGGGACCUUCACUACAGCUUGACAUUGGCGUUUGGAACGUCUUGUGUAGGAUAGGUGGGAGACUGUGAAGCUGUCACGCUAGUGGUGGUGGAGUCAUUGGUGAAAUACCACUCUGGUCGUUUUGAACGUCUAACUUCGGUCCGUGAUCCGGAUCAGGGACAGUGUCUGGUGGGUAGUUUAACUGGGGCGGUUGCCUCCUAAAGAGUAACGGAGGCGCCCAAAGGUUCCCUCAGCCUGGUUGGUAAUCAGGUGUCGAGUGUAAGUGCACAAGGGAGCUUGACUGUGAGACCGACGGGUCGAGCAGGAGCGAAAGCUGGGACUAGUGAUCCGGCGGUGGCAUGUGGAAGCGCCGUCGCUCAACGGCUAAAAGGUACCCCGGGGAUAACAGGCUGAUCUUCCCCAAGAGUCCAUAUCGACGGGAUGGUUUGGCACCUUGAUGUCGGCUCGUCGCAUCCUGGGGCUGGAGUAGGUCCCAAGGGUUGGGCUGUUCGCCUAUUAAAGCGGUACGCGAGCUGGGUUUAGAACGUCGCGAGACAGUUCGGUCCCUAUCCGCUGCGCGCGCAGGAGACUUGAAAGGAGCUGUCCCUAGUACGAGAGGACCGGGACGGACGAACCUCUGGUGUGCCAGUUGUUCCGCCAGGAGCAUGGCUGGUUGGCUACGUUCGGAAGGGAUAACCGCUGAAAGCAUCUAAGCGGGAAGCUCGCCUUGAGAUGAGGUCUCCCACCACGAGAGUGGGUAAGGCCCCCGGGAGACGACCGGGUUGAUAGGCCGGAGGUGGAAGCAUGGUAACGUGUGGAGCUGACCGGUACUAAUAGGCCGAGGACUUGACCAC
RNAcentral lists this ribosomal RNA (1348 nucleotides) under metagenome. RNAcentral's name for it is "bacterial LSU rRNA". It matches the Rfam family "Bacterial large subunit ribosomal RNA", at positions 1601 to 2925 of the family's 2925-position model. The record is from RNAcentral.